Molecule: non-coding RNA, 357 nt
Organism: Vicia faba (fava bean)
Lineage: Eukaryota; Viridiplantae; Streptophyta; Magnoliopsida; Fabales; Fabaceae
Source: the annotation of a GenBank genome assembly
CUUCAGGUUGUAUUUGUAAAAUCAAAAGAAAUCACUUCAGCUUCUUCGUUUCAUCGUUUCAGGUUGCAAUAUCGCUUAUCAAAAUCGCUUCAGGUUGCUUCAGGUUGCAAUCGCUUCUCAAAAUCACUUCAGGUUAAAAUCGUUUCUCAAAAUCACUUCAGGUUGAAAUCUUUUCAUCGUAUUUCUUUUCAAUGCCCUAAUUUCAAUCGUUUCUCAUUGCUUCGAGGUUCCAGGUUUGAAAGGAAAUCGAUUGAGAAAGAAAUCAUCAAGGAAAUCGUUUCUCUUUUUGAUCAAUUGCUUGAUUUGUUCUUUUUGCCUUAUAUAGAUUUUUAUAUACAAUGUUUGAUGUAUGUCUGA